UUAGGUUUACAUACAAUUUAUGUUAUAAAAUGUCACAUAAUAAAUUAUGAGUCUUAUAAUAAUUUUAUGGAUAUCAUUUUAGAAAAAAUGAAAGCUAAGUCUAUUAAGCAAACAUAUAACUAUAUUUGGUUGUUCCUCAAACUUAUACGUUUUUGUUCACACAACAUAUUAUCUAUUUGUUUACCAGCCAAAAUUUAUUAAAUUUUCAUGAGCCAAAAUUUACUCAUCAGUGUGACUUUGCUGCCAAAUAUUUCAUAAACCACCGUGAAACAAUGAUUUAGAAAAUGUAACUCUCUAGAGAAAAAAUAUAUGUUUUCUUUCUUAGUGAUGAAUUGUGUAACCUCGACUGUCAUUCAGAUAAUUUUCUUGUUUUUUUUGUUUUCUCUAAGUUUCAGUUUCAAGUGUAGUAACUCUCAAACGGGCAUGAAUCAACAAACACUUUAUAUUAUGUCUUCCAUUUAAAGUAGUAUAAUCAUUUGGAUUAUGAAUUGUUUUUCAACAAUUUAUGGAUCAUGACUUUUUUUGUCAAUAAUUUAUGGAUCAUAACUUUGAUGAUAUAUGACUGUUUAUAUGUAUCUAGGUUACAAAAUUAAACAAAUUUACAAUACUUAGUG
Molecule: small RNA, 614 nt
Filed under: Arabidopsis thaliana (thale cress)
Lineage: Eukaryota; Viridiplantae; Streptophyta; Magnoliopsida; Brassicales; Brassicaceae
Description: ATSL080790
Source: RNAcentral